Molecule: ribosomal RNA, 496 nt
Filed under: uncultured bacterium
Lineage: Bacteria
Description: bacterial SSU rRNA
Rfam family: Bacterial small subunit ribosomal RNA
Source: RNAcentral
GAUGAACGCUGGCGGCGUGCUUAACACAUGCAAGUCGAACGGAGAAAGGGUAGCUUGCUAUCUUUUCUUAGUGGCGGACGGGUGAGUAACGCGUGGGUAACCUGCCCUUUGCAGGGGGAUAACAGUGAGAAAUCACUGCUAAUACCGCAUACCAACUUCUUUCGCAUGAAGGAAGUUUGAAAGAUCUAUCGGCAAAGGAUGGACCCGCGUUGGAUUAGCUAGUUGGUGAGAUAACAGCCCACCAAGGCAACGAUCCAUAGCCGGCCUGAGAGGGUGAACGGCCACACUGGGACUGAGACACGGCCCAGACUCCUACGGGAGGCAGCAGUGGGGAAUAUUGCACAAUGGGCGAAAGCCUGAUGCAGCGACGCCGCGUGAAGGAUGAAGGUCUUCGGAUUGUAAACUUCUAUCAGCAGGGAAGAAAGGGCUUAUAGCCUAUGACGGUACCUGACUAAGAAGCCCGGCUAACUACGUGCCAGCAGCCGCGGUAAAGAGU